AUUAACACACCACACAUCCAUCUGAUCAUCCUCAUUUCUGCUCUGUUUAGUUUGUCUUCGUGUUCUGUUUUCAGGGCCCAUGCCUCACUUCCGUACGUCAUACUACUUCUGACGCAGGCUGAGUACACUUGGCCUCUCAUCUUCAGGGAUGGGGCCUUAGAUGUUAAGAAGGGCAUGAGUUCCCUGAAUUUCUUCCACCCGCUUCUCACCCUUGUGGUCACUGCUAGGUCCACCCCCCCAUCAGCGUUAAGCAUGUCUCCAAGGUAGCAGAAGCUGUCCACCACCUCGUACAUCUCCUCAUCUACCACGAGCCCCUCUUGCUCAGCUGGGUCUGCUUGGGCGACUUCUCCCCUGCACCGCUUGCAUUGGAAGGUCUCACUUGCAGCUAAACUACACAUGGC
This is a long non-coding RNA of Syngnathus acus (greater pipefish), 401 nucleotides long. RefSeq lists it as uncharacterized. The record is from RefSeq and is a predicted model, not a curated record. The transcript is spliced from 3 exons. Lineage: Eukaryota; Metazoa; Chordata; Actinopteri; Syngnathiformes; Syngnathidae.